RNAcentral lists this transfer RNA (75 nucleotides) under Candidatus Zambryskibacteria bacterium RIFCSPHIGHO2_01_FULL_49_18. RNAcentral describes it as "tRNA-Glu". It matches the Rfam family "tRNA". Rfam says of the family: Transfer RNA (tRNA) molecules are approximately 80 nucleotides in length. Their secondary structure includes four short double-helical elements and three loops (D, anti-codon, and T loops). Further hydrogen bonds mediate the characteristic L-shaped molecular structure. tRNAs have two regions of fundamental functional importance: the anti-codon, which is responsible for specific mRNA codon recognition, and the 3' end, to which the tRNAs corresponding amino acid is attached (by aminoacyl-tRNA synthetases). tRNAs cope with the degeneracy of the genetic code in two manners: having more than one tRNA (with a specific anti-codon) for a particular amino acid; and 'wobble' base-pairing, i.e. permitting non-standard base-pairing at the 3rd anti-codon position. The record is from RNAcentral. RNAcentral also lists the same sequence under 1 other name. Lineage: Bacteria; Candidatus Zambryskiibacteriota.
GGCCCUAUCGUCUAGUGGUUAGGACAACAGGUUUUCAAUCUGUGAACCCGGGUUCGAUCCCCGGUAGGGUCACCC